This is a non-coding RNA of Elephantulus edwardii (Cape elephant shrew), 393 nucleotides long. NCBI's taxonomy places the organism in Eukaryota, Metazoa, Chordata, Mammalia, Macroscelidea, Macroscelididae. The record is from the annotation of a RefSeq genome assembly.
AUGGGGCCCACACACCUCUGCCUGGCGGCCCUGUGUGUCCUGGGAGCAGGCUCUGUGGACACUGAGGUCACCCAGACUCCAGGACAGCUGGUCAGAGGGACAAAACAGAAAGCAAGGAUGGAGUGUGUCCCCAUAAAGGGACAUAAUUAUGUUCAUUGGUAUCGUCUGAAGCUUGGAGAAGAGCUCAAGUUUUUAAUAUACUUCCAAAACAAAGACAUUAUUGAUGCUUCAGGAAUGUCUGAUAAACGGUUUUCAGCUCAGUGUCCCCCAGACUUGCCGUGUAGCAUGGAGAUCGAACCCACGGAGUUGGAGGACUCAGCCGUGUACUUCUGCGCCAGCAGUGAGUCCACAGCGCUGCAGGGUCAGCUGCUUCUGAGACACAAACCCAUCUAA